UACGUAGGGUGCGAGCGUUGUCCGGAAUUACUGGGCGUAAAGAGCUCGUAGGUGGUUUGUCGCGUUGUCCGUGAAAACUCGGGGCUCAACCCCGAGCCUGCAGUCGAUACGGGCAGACUAGAGUGCUGUAGGGGAGACUGGAAUUCCUGGUGUAGCGGUGAAUGCGCAGAUAUCAGGAGGAACACCAAUGGCGAAGGCAGAUCUCUGGGCCGUAACUGACGCUGAGGAGCGAAAGCAUGGGGAGCGAACAGG
This 252-nucleotide ribosomal RNA is filed under the name uncultured bacterium. Its description in RNAcentral is "partial 16S ribosomal RNA". It matches the Rfam family "Bacterial small subunit ribosomal RNA", at positions 524 to 776 of the family's 1533-position model. The record is from RNAcentral.